AACGAACGCUGGCGGCAUGCCUAACACAUGCAAGUCGAACGAGACCUUCGGGUCUAGUGGCGCACGGGUGCGUAACGCGUGGGAACCUGCCCUUAGGUUCGGCAUAACUCCCCGAAAGGGGUGCUAAUACCGGAUAAUGUCUUCGGACCAAAGAUUUAUCGCCUUUGGAUGGGCCCGCGUUGGAUUAGCUAGUUGGUAGGGUAAAAGCCUACCAAGGCGACGAUCCAUAGCUGGGCUGAGAGGAUGAUCAGCCACACUGAGACUGAGACACGGCCCAGACUCCUACGGGAGGCAGCAGUGGGGAAUAUUGGACAACGGGCGAAAGCAUGAUGCAGCAAUGCCGCGUGAGUGAUGAAGGCCUUAGGGUUGUAAAGCUCUUUUACCCGGGAUGAUAAUGACAGUACCGGGAGAAUAAGCCCCGGCUAACUCCGUG
Molecule: ribosomal RNA, 433 nt
Filed under: uncultured bacterium
Lineage: Bacteria
Description: partial 16S ribosomal RNA
Rfam family: Bacterial small subunit ribosomal RNA
Source: RNAcentral